AUUCAGUUGAGGAGAGAACCCUUUUGGUAGCUGCAACCCUCUUUUCUACCGACCACAACGAUCCGCCAAAGGAAAUUGAAUUGGCAACAUCAGUAAACGACGCCAGAGUUGCUCCCAUGCUGCCGAAAAGGAAAAGAACAAGAAGGAGCAGGGCGAAAGAGAAUACGAGCCAAAGAAGAAGUGGAAAUAAUACAACUUUGCGUUCCUUGUUAAGGAUCAAAGGAAACCUACCCCAAUCUCGAUUUCGAGGUCCUCCGUUCCUCUUCAUUCUUACCCCUCUAUCUAUCUCUCUCGUUACUAAAGACAUAAAUCAAGCAAAAUGUUUGAUAUCCAUAUUAUGCUCUAUUUAAAACCAUUUACUAUGACAUCUUGCUUUUCACAUAACAAUUGAUUCUUUUGUCUUGACACUAC
This 411-nucleotide unclassified non-coding RNA is filed under the name Bombus terrestris (buff-tailed bumblebee). RNAcentral's name for it is "misc RNA ENSBTSG00005038166.1". The record is from RNAcentral. Lineage: Eukaryota; Metazoa; Arthropoda; Insecta; Hymenoptera; Apidae.